This 300-nucleotide unclassified non-coding RNA is filed under the name uncultured Serendipita. Its description in RNAcentral is "sequence contains 5.8S rRNA gene, ITS2". The stretch from base 1 to 71 matches the Rfam family "5.8S ribosomal RNA", at positions 84 to 154 of the family's 154-position model. Lineage: Eukaryota; Fungi; Basidiomycota; Agaricomycetes; Sebacinales. The record is from RNAcentral.
GUGAGUCAUCGAAUCUUUGAACGCACCUUGCACCCUUUGGUAUUCCGAAGGGUACACCCGUUUGAGUGUCAUUGUAAUCUCACUACGACUACUUUAUUGUUGUUUGUAUGUGGACCUGGAUGUUGCCGUGUAACAAACGGCUCAUCUGAAAUGCCUGAGUGUACCCUGCUUUGCGGCGUAUUUGGUGUGAUAAAUCUUCACCGGAGUUGACUUUCGGGUCGCGUCAGCUUUAACAUGGCUCUAUGCUUCCAACCGUCCUAACAAGACAACCUUUGACAAUUUGACCUCAAAUCGGGUGGG